AGUUCUUGCUGAUUCCGAUCCGGUUCUAAUACUCGUUCGGCCGGCAUUGCGGAUUCUGGAUUGUUCGAUAACGAGCUCUUGGGGCCUUUGGUACUAUUUAGGCGUGGAUUGUGGAGGAGGAAUUGUUUAGGGUUUGUGAGAUGAUCAUGUGAAUAUAGAUGAUUGACGAGAGUGAGAGAGAGAAGAGGGGAAUGGAUGACAGAGGUGAGUCAUUUGUCGCUGUCAGGAGGAUAUCUCAAGGUCUCGAACGAGGUAGCAACACCUGCCAUUCAACGUCUGGCUUGCAUUCCUUUGUUUGGAAUUUCGUAGGCACUUGCACAUGAGAAUCGAACGCCAAGCAUGCUCCUUAUUGCUUUUCUUCUACUUACGUGCAGAAUUAAUAAAUUUAUUCAAUAUUAAACAAUAUAAAUACUUUUUUCUUGUUUCCAUCUAACAUAAUAGAUCAUUUAAGAACUUUGUUUUCAUUAGUAUGAGGUUUUAUUUUGUUACAGCUGAGGU
Molecule: unclassified non-coding RNA, 498 nt
Filed under: Hevea brasiliensis (rubber tree)
Lineage: Eukaryota; Viridiplantae; Streptophyta; Magnoliopsida; Malpighiales; Euphorbiaceae
Source: RNAcentral